GAGGAGUUUAGAAAGCCAUGAGAGAGUAAGAAGUUGCUUAAUGGAAACUUUCUUGAUUUUAUUCAAAAAUGACUUCUCCUUAUAUAGGGAGGAGAAUCACAACAAGAAUACAAAAGGAGGCUAAGUGGGGAUCCCACUCAUCCUCCACUUACAAGACAAUAAGGAUGACUCAUCAUUCACUCACAUGCCUAAUAUACAAUAAUUCACUCCACUCACAUACCUAAUAAUUCACUCCACUCACAUACCUAAUAAGACAACAUACAAUAAUACACUCAACUUUCAAGAUAAUAAGGACGACUUAUCAUUCACUCACAUGCUUAAUAGGACAAUAUACAAUAAUUCACUUAAAGUAAUAGCAGUGGCCGACAGCUUCACAUGCUUAGAAAAUAUCGUCAUAUUGAUCAUCAUCCAUUGGCUGGGAAUCUUGCAUGAGAGCUUCUUGCUGUGCUCUGGUUAAGGUAGGAUCAUCCAGUGGGGUCGAAAGAUCAGAGAAUGAGAAAUGUUCAAUGGAUUGUCCAGUUGACAGGUGUCCAUUGAAUGUGCAUACUAA
This 550-nucleotide long non-coding RNA is filed under the name Ricinus communis (castor bean). RNAcentral describes it as "long non-coding RNA (RCOM_LNC001702)". Lineage: Eukaryota; Viridiplantae; Streptophyta; Magnoliopsida; Malpighiales; Euphorbiaceae. The record is from RNAcentral.